GAGUUCUACAAAGCCUAGUAGAUUUGGCUCAAUUUAAAUCUGGUGAUUGCAUUUGCACUGCACCAGGUUCAGAUCUGCACUCAGCUGUAUUUCAAGCAAAAAAAUAUGUGCCUAAAAUCACCCGAGUCCCUCAGGUCCCAACCAUGCAAUAAUCAUGUCAACAAGUCUCGAAACAUAAUACCAACCUAUCCCAAGCAAAUUAAUACAAUAUUUGAAAUGUGAGUUGUUUAACAUUAACUAAUUAAAAGGGC
Molecule: long non-coding RNA, 251 nt
Filed under: Solanum tuberosum (potato)
Lineage: Eukaryota; Viridiplantae; Streptophyta; Magnoliopsida; Solanales; Solanaceae
Description: long non-coding RNA (STUB_LNC000553)
Source: RNAcentral